Long non-coding RNA from Chelonia mydas (Green sea turtle), 2187 nucleotides. RefSeq lists it as uncharacterized. The record is from RefSeq and is a predicted model, not a curated record. The transcript is spliced from 3 exons. NCBI's taxonomy places the organism in Eukaryota, Metazoa, Chordata, Testudines, Cheloniidae.
GCUCGCUGAUGAAGACAGCUCCAUCCCCUUCCCAAGGCUGCCACUCAAGCUGUCACCAAGGCCAGCCUAUUCGGAGAGCAGUCCUGAUAUAAGAUUCCCCCCGAGCUGCCUGGGGUUCGCCCACGCACACAAGGCGGCUGAGGCUCACAGCUCCCUCUCCCCGGGUGUCGGCUGGAGGGGGGCUGUACAGGAUUUUGGGAAGGGAGGGGUCAAUCUUGUUUCUAGGCGCCCAGAGUCCCCUUCUUCGUGAACUGAGAGGGGCUGGGUGUUGAAGGUGCUGCAGCUUUUGGGGGCAACAAGGAACAAAAUGAGAUGGACACAGACCAGCCUGGUGGGGCUGGAAACGAGCUGAGCUUUCAGCCCUGCAUCCGUCGGGGCAACAUCCUUGACUCUUUCAUAUUUCUUCGCUAUCUGGCUCUGCUCUGUCUGCUAAGAUAAAAAUAAAAUAACCUUUGAGACGGAGCCAGGACUGGCCAAGUUCCUUCUGCCAGCUGUCCCUAUAACAACCAUCAUCCCUGGAAUUUAACUAGUGCCUCUCCAUGGGAAAUCAAAGCCCUUCAUAAAGGAAACUGGCCGCCAGGCAGCACAACAAGCCUGAGCAAGACAGGCGAGGCCAUUUUGAUUGUGGUGGUUGCCUUGGCAACGGGAGAAGGCCAAGGUCUCUGUGCAGAGAACGGCAGCAUGUUCUUCCCUGGGUCCCAAAUAAAGGGAUCAAGAGGAUUUGCUGAUAACACUUCACUUCCUGUGUGCGUGUGGGGUUCUCAAUGAUCAAAGAACAAACACCUCAGGGAGGGUCAUUUGCAGCAACGAUCCCAAACCGGAACCCCACGUUCAAACUUGAGGGCACCCAGGAAACUGAGUCUAGAUUUGCCGUUCCAAUCCACAGAACAGAUCUCGCCCAUGCAGAAUACUCCUAACCACGGGAAUAUUAGAACCUGGGUGCUGUGACAGAGGGGCAUCAGACUCUGUCUGGAGCAGAGGGCUUGGAUUUCUUCUCUGAUAACAAUUUUGUCCUUCGCUAGGACAUUUCCUCUGAGGAUCUCAGCGCACUUAUUCCCUCAGAGCCCAUGAGGAUGAUCAAGGUGGACAAACUCUUAAGUAAGAAUCUCGUAACUUCACCACCACUGGGAGGACGCCUGUGGCCCAGACCCUUUGCGAGGGGCUCCCACCUAGCAGGGAUAGGAGCACCAGGAGCUGAUUCUCACAGUAAAGCCCCGUUAGGUCUAUUUAGAAAUUAAUUUGCAUGCAUCUUACUGCUAGAGUGGUUUAAAAGGGGCCUUUGUAAAAAUGAGACUAAAAGCCCAGGGUCUCCAGCUGUCUCCUUACCACCAGGCACUGGGAGACCCAGGAACCAGCUGCCUGGGUCAGAACCACUAAUAAAAGCAGCCUUUGUGGAACACGGCUCCCAUUCUCUGUGUCUCUUUCAGCUUCUCGUUAAUGUGAUGUCCCUGAGCCAAGUGACCCGGGGAGAUCUUCGCAAGGGGAAGAUGCUUCUCAUUCCAGAUCCUCGCAACGCUCGUUUCUGGGUCGGUCUGGAAGACUUGUGAUUUUGUUGUUUCCGGUGUCAGGGAAGCGAACAACAAAUCCCAGUCUCCUCACAGCCCCAGGACUGGCCUCCAAGAAUCCAUCCAUGGUACCUUCCCUGGGACCAAGCAGCAUGAGGAGGAGAGAUGGUGAAACUAUACUGUUCUUCCUUUACCAGUAGGAAAACACACAGCCACAAUCUGAUUGCCACAGAGAUUCAGCCAACGAUUGGACAUUUAUAGGACUAACCAGAGCAGCCCGCGUUAUAACAGCAGGGGUUAAAAAAACCAAAGCAACUUAGAAGGACUAUAAACUGUCCUGCUUCAGGCCACGAAUCAACUUCUAACCAAUAUGGUCAGGAAGGGACUUUCCUGGGGUGGUGAUUAUCCUCCCACUGCAGGGUUUUCUGAAGCCUCUGGUGCUGACCAUGGCUGGAGACAGGCUAGGUGGACCAUGGGUCUGAUUCAGCAAUUCCUCUGACUUUCAGCACAGAUCUAAGCUGGCCAACUGUGGAGUGCAUGCAUGGGAAGCCACAUGGUUCAGGGAGAUGAGAAUGGCCUAGGGAGCCUUUACAUCAGGAGCCCAGGUCUGUAACGACUGAAAAGUCUGUCCCUUUCCAGAAGCCAUUUGAAACAAGCUGGGGGUUCAAAUGGAAAGUUUUUA